GACGAACGCUGGCGGCGUGCUUAACACAUGCAAGUCGAACGGAAAGGCCCUUCUGGGUACGCGAGCGGCGGACGGGUGCGUAACACGUACGUAAGCGGCCCCAGCCUUUGGGUUAACCAUCGGAACCGGAGGCUAGUACCGAAUACGAAACAGCUUCGCAUGGGGUCUGUGUGGAAAGUUUUUCGGUUUGGGAUGGGCUCGCGGCCGAUCAGCUUGUUGGUGGGGUGAUGGCUUACCAAGGCGACGACGGGUAGCCGGCCUGAGAGGGCGACCGGCCACACUGGGACUGAGACACGGCCCAGACUCCUACGGGAGGCAGCAGUGGGGAAUAUUGCACAAUGGGCGGAAGCCUGAUGCAGCGACGCCGCGUGCGGGAUGACGGCCUUCGGGUUGUAAACCUCUUUCAGCAGGGACGAAGCGUAAGUGACGGUACUGGCAGAAGAAGCGCCGGCCAACUACGUG
RNAcentral lists this ribosomal RNA (462 nucleotides) under uncultured bacterium. RNAcentral describes it as "partial 16S ribosomal RNA". It matches the Rfam family "Bacterial small subunit ribosomal RNA", at positions 28 to 507 of the family's 1533-position model. The record is from RNAcentral.